This 253-nucleotide ribosomal RNA is filed under the name uncultured bacterium. Its description in RNAcentral is "partial 16S ribosomal RNA". It matches the Rfam family "Bacterial small subunit ribosomal RNA", at positions 524 to 776 of the family's 1533-position model. The record is from RNAcentral.
UACGUAUGGGGCAAGCGUUAUCCGGAUUUACUGGGUGUAAAGGGAGCGCAGGCGGCCUGGCAAGCCUGAUGUGAAAUACCGGGGCCCAACCCCGGGGCUGCAUUGGGAACUGCCAGGCUGGAGUGCCGGAGAGGCAGGCGGAAUUCCUAGUGUAGCGGUGAAAUGCGUAGAUAUUAGGAGGAACACCAGUGGCGAAGGCGGCCUGCUGGACGGUGACUGACGCUGAGGCUCGGAAGCGUGGGGAGCAAACAGG